RNAcentral lists this ribosomal RNA (585 nucleotides) under uncultured bacterium. Its description in RNAcentral is "bacterial SSU rRNA". It matches the Rfam family "Bacterial small subunit ribosomal RNA", at positions 338 to 916 of the family's 1533-position model. The record is from RNAcentral.
CCUACGGGAGGCAGCAGUGGGGAAUUUUGGACAAUGGGCGCAAGCCUGAUCCAGCAAUGCCGCGUGCAGGAUGAAGGCCUUCGGGUUGUAAACUGCUUUUGUACGGAACGAAACGGCGAACUCUAAUAAAGUUCGCUAAUGACGGUACCGUAAGAAUAAGCACCGGCUAACUACGUGCCAGCAGCCGCGGUAAUACGUAGGGUGCAAGCGUUAAUCGGAAUUACUGGGCGUAAAGCGUGCGCAGGCGGUGAUGUAAGACAGAUGUGAAAUCCCCGGGCUCAACCUGGGACCUGCAUUUGUGACUGCAUCGCUAGAGUACGGUAGAGGGGGAUGGAAUUCCGCGUGUAGCAGUGAAAUGCGUAGAUAUGCGGAGGAACACCGAUGGCGAAGGCAAUCCCCUGGACCUGUACUGACGCUCAUGCACGAAAGCGUGGGGAGCAAACAGGAUUAGAUACCCUGGUAGUCCACGCCCUAAACGAUGUCAGCUGGUUGUUGGGUCUUCACUGACUCAGUAACGAAGCUAACGCGUGAAGUUGACCGCCUGGGGAGUACGGCCGCAAGGUUGAAACUUAAAUGAAUUGACGG